CCGGACUCCUCCCUCUUUUCUUGGUAUGCUUUUUUGCACGUUGGUUUGGUUUUAGGGUUUGUGAGGAGGAAGAAGAUUAUAUCUAAUUUCGAAUUUGCAGCUCAGUUAAUUCGAUGCAUAUGUUUUUAGGGUUACUGUGCUUGAAUUUGAUUAACGUGAUGCCAAAUUUUGUGUGUACAUAAUAAUUCGCAUGUAUUAUUAUUUUUGUUUCAUUUAAUUAUUAAUAGCUCUAGGGAUUCAUAUCACAAUCAAUUAGGUAUCGCAAUUUGGUUUAAUUUGCCCGGCCACCGAGUAGAAUUUUAAACCAAAUUUUGUAGCUAAGCAAGAUUUUCAUUUCACAAUCAAUUAAGUACAUUCACAAUUCGUGGCGGAUUCAGUAUUUGAAUUUUUGAGAAAUAGAGUGUGGAACACGCAAUAAAAUAUAGUUUAUUCAUUGAUGAGUGAUAUCGAGAGAAUUUGUCAAGAAUUAUCGACGCAACUUGUCGAGAUAUGCAUACUAAUAUUACAUCAAACAUUUUGUGAGCACAUGUACAAAACAUUCAAAGUCUUCUUGGUGGACCUUCAAAUUCAUAUAUCCCCAUACGUCGGGUGAUCCUGGGAUCACCUUGGUCCCAAUGUACAUCAGGCCUUGUUCACAACUCUGUUUGAUUUGCCCGAUUACUUGUGCACCCGAUUACUUGUGCAGAACUAAUUCUCAACAAAUUUCCUACUUUAUGUAGGAUUUUCAUGUAGCUAUUUAAAAUAUUUAGGUUAUCCUAACAAAUUAGCCACCCAGAUACAGAAGAACGUAUUUGGCAUGAAACUUUAGUAGUAAGUAUUUGAUGAUUUAAUAAGAUGGAGAAUACAGAGUAAUAUGGUGCCCGGCCUGAAUCCAAACGGCUUAAUUACUUAGCUUACACACACACACGUAUUUGUGUGUGUAUACAUAUAUACAUAUAUAUAUAUAUAUAUUAAUGUAUCUCUAAGAAACAGAACUGUAAAAAUCAAGUUGUUGGAUGGCAGAAACGAACUGCUCAAAAUUUAUAUGACUGAGAGUUGAGACGUCUAAGAACUGAGCAAAACAUAUCUUGUUGGAUUAGUUUGUUAAUUGAAAUCAAAUCAAGCUGUUUUUAGGAUACAUCGAGUGCACCGACCCUAACCCAUGACACGACGGUAAAUAGGUUGAACGUGAAGGGUAUCACGGUCAAAUGGUAGGAAAAGUAUAGUGUAUAUGUAGCACCUAAACUAAAAUAGCCCCCGCCAAAAUCGGAAAAUUCUCAAACUUAUUUCAUGCAAUCUCUCUCUCUCUCUCUCUCUCUCUCUUCGUCCCAAUAAAAUCUCUCUCUCUCUCUGACAAAAUCAUGAGCCGCCGAGUAGCCGGAGCAGGAUCAGAAUCCCGGCGGGGGAAGAAACCAGCCAUACCGAUGAAACUCCGAGAUAUGAAGAAAACGGCUGUUAAAGACUCUCCGACUAACUAAAAAAAGAAAAUUUUGUUCAAGAGGGUAUGGCUGAGCUCCAACUUAACGAGAAGAAUACUACUACUCCAAAACCAGAAGAGAGGAAAACGCGCAGCGCAGUCGUAUUUACUAGACCUUUCAAAUUCACAAUCCCUUGUAAAGUUUGCGGUGUGGUUGGCCACUUGAAUGAUGAUUGCCCCUACAUGAAACGUGUUCCAAACAAUGUAACUGAGGUUGGCAAGGGCUAUGAAAUAGUUACCUUCCGUGGUGAGAAGCAUGCUGUUAGGAUGUUAUGUGGUUAUUGUCAUAUCAGCGCUGACCACCAGAGCGAUGACUGCCCGCAUAAGAGCAAAAUCAUUGCAUGGAAGAACUCCCUUCGGAAGCCCCCUCCUGUAGGUCCUCUCACCUCCUGAUCUUGCUGAUGCUCAGGAUUGCGGCGGCACUGCCGAUUUGGAUGGUUAUAUCUACUCUUGUCUUGGAAUGCUGCUGUCCUGUUCGUUUUCUUUGGAUUUUAGCACUCUGUGGUCAGUCUGUCUGUACGUAUGUCAUGUAUGUCUUUGAAGAAGCACGUUCCGUCCCGUCAUUCUAACGUUAGUUGUAUUCUCUAUAUACUUGGAUUUAUUCUACUCAUUCUAAUGGUUAGUUGUAUUCUCCAUAUACUUAGAUUUA
Non-coding RNA from Malus domestica (apple), 2105 nucleotides. Lineage: Eukaryota; Viridiplantae; Streptophyta; Magnoliopsida; Rosales; Rosaceae. The record is from RefSeq and is a predicted model, not a curated record.